Bufo bufo (common toad) is the source of this 157-nucleotide long non-coding RNA. RefSeq lists it as uncharacterized. The transcript has 3 exons. The record is from RefSeq and is a predicted model, not a curated record. NCBI's taxonomy places the organism in Eukaryota, Metazoa, Chordata, Amphibia, Anura, Bufonidae.
UUCAUGAAUAAGAUUCCUCGUUAUGGAAGAUUUGAGUUCAGACUUCAUCCAGCUUGCUGUAGCAAAUAAAAUACGGUUUGGAACCAGUGGAGAAUUUGAGUAUGUCUCUUUUCAAGAAGGAUGAGGAUAGUUUUUGGAAGAACACCAAACUGUUAAU